UAUAUAAAAAAUAACUUAUAAGUUCGAAGAUCUGAUCCUCCUGACUGUGUUAUCAGAUAUCUUGGUGGAAAGACAGGUCAAACUUUGUUCUUUAGAGAAUAAUAAUAAUCUUACAAGAAGAUAAAAGAAAAAUACCUCACUGUAGUCUCAUAUCUUAUGAAUUUUAGCUAGCCUGAUUAAAGAAUAUGUUUUAAAAGUUAGAUCAAUGGUCAAAAACUAAGCUAAUUAUAUCAUCGAUUAAAGCUAACACUCAUUACUACCAUAAUAAUACAUGGCUAGCUUGACACAAUAACGCCUAUAACUAAACACAGUCCACUGUGAUAACUAAUUUUCCUACUUUAACCACUCUCACGAAACGAUUUUAAACGACCAGAACGUCGUGUUGUAAUGUUACAGGAAGUAUCGGGAACGUGAAAUAUCAUGGCGUUUUUUAAUAGUUGGCCAGUUCUACUACUAGCCCACCUUUUCUUUCGAAGAAAUGCUGCUGAAUCAACCUGGAAAGUUAGCUGGUAGAGUUGUGGAAAGAGGUUAGUGAUUGUGGGCCGCAAGACGAUAUUAAUACAAACCAUAGAAAGAUGUAACUAUCCUUGUCAAAAUUGAUUUUCAGAUAGUCAAGAUUUAAUCCAAAUAAGGUGGGCCUAGUAUAGACUUGAUUAGGAGCAUUGCCAUAUAUCAUUCCAGAGGCCUAUCUUAGAUGAUUGAGCUUCUAGACCAAGUAGAGGGUUCUGAUGCUGCAGAGAACUUACUAAACAAACAUAAACAGAUUACUUGGAGUCAAAGUUUCCUCAAGGAAGACAGAAUCAAGCUUAAAGACACAAGAGUUUAUACAAGAUUCAGAUUCAGAUUCAGACAACUUUACUCUAAGGCAAAAAGAUCAAAAAGUCUAUCCUAUAUAGACUAACCUUUCUCUUUCAUUUACUCUUAUCAACUAACAAAAGUACAAAACUUCCAGUAACCCUAAUGGCUCUCUCUUCGCCUACAAGAAUCCUCUGUUUUGCUCUUGCUUUAUCGGCUGCAUCUCUGUCCCUCUCAUUCGCUCUGCUUCCCACGACUUCUCCAUCGUUGGAUAUUCCCCUGAGGAUUUGGAAGCUCAUGAUAAACACAUCGAGCUCUUCGAAAACUGGCUCUCCAACUUCGAGAAAGCUUAUGAAACCGUUGAAGAGAAGUUGCGUAGGUUCGAAGUUUUCAAGGAUAACCUGAAACACAUCGAUGAGACUAAUAAGAAGGUGAAAAGCUACUGGCUUGGUCUCAACGAGUUUGCGGAUUUGAGCCACAAAGAAUUCAAGAAUAAGUAUGUAAUGACCCUAAAUGUAAUGAUCCCAAAAAUUUGACCCAAACUAUCCCCAAAGGCCAUUUUGCCUUUCUUUAAGAGAGAGAGAGAGAGAGAGGAAGAAGAGGAAGGGAGAAAGCUCACCUGAGCUCGUCGCCGGAGCAACCGUGUGCCGUGACCACGUUGAGCUCGUCACCACCGUUCGCUGCAGCUUAGAAUCGCCGGAAACCGCCAUGCAGUUAAGCUUAGUUUCGUCCGUUUAGUAAUUCGCCGAUAACUCUCUAACCGUUACGAAUAUCGUGCAUCUAAGACCAUCAUCGUGUUCCUCUCGUCAAGACGAAGCCGUAGACACCAACCACGCCUCAAUCGGAGCCCGGACGAAGCCGCACGCGCCUCCCGAAGAUUCGCCUCGGCGCGCGCGUGAAACACACGCGCCGCCGCCGUCCGCCGCAACUCCGCCGCCGGACCACCGUCCUCCGCCGCAACUCCGCCGCCGGAACACCGUCCUCCGCCGCAGCUCCGCCGUCGCCGCCGGCAAACUUUCCGAUUUGGAAUCCAUUUGAGCAGAUGGAGUUCAUAUAUAACACUUCUCUUCAUUGCUAAGGUGAGACCGACGAGCAGGAGUGAUUAUACCGGACCGGUGCUUUUGGGCUUUUACUACUAUUGGGCUUUUGGGCUUCUAUCGUUUUAUCGCUUUUAUCGUUAUCGGGUCUCUAGGCCUUUGGGCUUUUAUCGUUUAUGUUAUUUCGUAUUUCGGACUCUCGGUUUAUGUCGUACUUUAUGUUUCAGAUUUUAUUUUAUAUUAUGGAAUUCAAGCGUGGAUGUUGACUUUCAAAUAUUUAUAUAUGGAUAUUUCAGAUA
Long non-coding RNA from Brassica napus (rape), 2131 nucleotides. RefSeq lists it as uncharacterized. NCBI's taxonomy places the organism in Eukaryota, Viridiplantae, Streptophyta, Magnoliopsida, Brassicales, Brassicaceae. The record is from RefSeq and is a predicted model, not a curated record. The transcript is spliced from 3 exons.